This is a long non-coding RNA of Cervus elaphus (red deer), 1122 nucleotides long. RefSeq lists it as uncharacterized. The transcript has 6 exons. Lineage: Eukaryota; Metazoa; Chordata; Mammalia; Artiodactyla; Cervidae. The record is from RefSeq and is a predicted model, not a curated record.
CACAGAGCCGGGGGAAUCCAAAGCUGGGAGAUUUCCGAGACCUGCCUGCCAGUCCCACCCAGGCACAGGGCAGGUGGGUCCAGCCAGAGCAUCUUGACAGCCAGAGCAUCUUGACAGCCAGUGAGGGCAGGAUUUGGAGGGGCGGAGAGUUCCCACCACUCUGAGGUCUCCUCUUUGAGGGGUGAUCAGCCAGCCAAAUGAUCCAUCUCAUACCAGCAACCAGCUUGGGCUACAGGCAGGAAGUGGCCAGUCGAGGUGGCCACUGCGUCGUGCCCAGCUGCACCCCUGCCCUUGCCCUGAUGACUGCCACGGGCCCUGAGCCUAAUGAGGAGUCAGGUCAACUAGUAAGUGGUUUAUUCCUGGUCCUGCUGACUGAGACCAAGGUGUGGUGGCCCUCGGGAUCUGCCUACUGCCAGGAGGGAGGAACCCCACAGGGCUCCGAGGGACCCCGUGUAAAUUUCCACUUCCGGAAGAAGCUUUUCCUGGCCUCAACCCACAGCGUCUUCUCCCUGCUGUGAACCUGUGGUCUCCACCAAACAUCCUGCCCUUCUUGGAUGCACCUCAGCCUUCACCCACUUCAGCUGGCAUGCCCCCCUUGCCUGGGGGCCAGCCCCCUCUGAGCCCUGGUGGAAGUGACACUAGAAAACCCUGUGUCUGCAGUCACCAUCUGCAGGGCCACAGCUGGUCCUCCAAGAGCUCUCAGUCUCAAGAGUGCAGUCAUCAUGAGACCAGAAAGGCAUUUCACAGGUCUGAUCAGCUGGCCUCUACACCAUCUCAGGCCUGUGCAUUCCCUCCCCCGUGUUGACCGGACACCUGGGCUGGGGGCUCAGAAGACACUGGGGAACACAGGCACGGCCUGGACAGACAACAGACCUGCUCCCCUCAGCACUCACAUCCCCGUGGGCUCCGGAGAUGCUAAGAAUGAUAAAUAGAGCACCAUGCAGCAUGUAGGAUCGUAGUUCCCUGACCAGGGAUGGAAUCUGUACCCCCUGCAGUGGAACCACAGAAUCUAAACCACAGGAACACCAAGGAAGUCCAGGGUUACACCUAUUUUAUAUCAUCUGUAUUCAUUGAAUUUAUUGCUGUAAGACUGUAACAUUUGACAAUAAGAAAAAAUAACGC